This 1302-nucleotide transfer RNA is filed under the name Dromaius novaehollandiae (emu). RNAcentral's name for it is "lncRNA (ENSDNVG00000011130.1)". The record is from RNAcentral. Lineage: Eukaryota; Metazoa; Chordata; Aves; Casuariiformes; Dromaiidae.
AGGCAGGUGUUUGCUCAUGUUUUCAAUACAGAGGAAUCCAGCUCUGUGGGUGUUCUGUAGGACUCUGUCCCCGUGCAGGGAAACAAAUGUGUACAACUGAACGGCUGCCUGGUCAGUACUGCUGGCACACUUUCACCCAUUUGGAGAGCCCCCAUUUUACACUUCCGCUCUCCUUGUCUGACUCGAGCAAAAGGACAAGCCCCUGAAAGUCUUACCUAUUUAAAGCAAUUAGGCCCCCCUUUAAAAUUAAAAAAAAAAAAAAUUCACGUCCUCCGUUUCCUCCGAGAUAACAAGUUAAGGCAAAGGAAGAAGAAAAAAGAGAAAACGAAGGGAAAACAAAAAAAAGCAAAUGACCCCGACGUGAUUCGAACACGCAGCCUUCUGAUCUGGAGUCAGACGCGCUACCGUUGCGCCACGAGGUCCUGCUGGGCAGGGGCGCGCAGAGCCUUAGAACGCGCCCAUCACAGACCGCCAGCGGGACACGGGCCGGGCGGGCCUCGGGGGCCGGCGAAGACCCUUUCUCACCCACCUGUGGCGACCUCACAGGUAACAACCGCAGGGCCUCUGCGGCCCCUCUCCUCCGCCACUGCUUCCGUUCCCGCCGCAGCAAAUUUGAAACGUACAAGAGGACUCUGCAGAGCCAAAGCCAAGGAUCUGAAGAGACUCUAAAAGAAGAACAAGGGGUCUAAUGGCCACUGCAGUCCAAGGAGGACAUCUUGCAAAACUAUGAGGAGCUUAAGCAAGGUAUAUAGUUCUCAUGGCACUGAGAAUAUAAUUCUCAUGGCACUGGCAAUUCUAUACCAGAGCACUAAUACCUCUUCUGCAGUUCACCAUUUUAGGGAAGCACUAAGAUGAAUGUAAGUGUGAUGGCUACUCUGCACUGAUGGAGGAAUUUUGCAAGAAGAGAAGCAGAGCUGUUGACAACCAGGACCUCUUCAUUUCCCAGGUAUCCUCUGCAAGGCCCCAGGAUCAAGUGAGACAAAGUUUGCAACAGCCCACUUAAGAUGGUCUCUCCCUAUAUAUUCUUUGUUAUGUUUUUCCACAUUUUCAAUUUCUUAACGUAUCGCUAAGGGUGUUUUAUCAGAAAAGCAGCUUGGUAUUGACAGGCCCUGGCCAUACCUUAACCCCCUGUCCUGCUCCUGCAUGCCCACUCCAGCCUGUCAUACUUCCUUCCAUGCUGUCCUAGGAUUUUUGCCACAUAUCAGUGGUCUUGCUCACUCCAUGGCCUGGCACUUAUGUUGUAUUAGCUUAAGUUGUUGUAAACAUAUGCUGGUAAUUAAAAUAAAGCGCUGAUCACAGGCA